AUGAAUCACCAAGUGAGAUGUGGCCCAAAUUAAAAGAGGAGUUCCCAGGUAUCAGGAAGCCUGGUCCUUGAACUUAACUGAGAUCUUACUGUUUAAUUGCUCUGUUUAAGAAAAUAAGAUUAUGUUUAUUUCAAAGGUAACCUCAGCACUUCCACGGAUUUUGCAAUACUGCACUAACGGAUGGGGGCUUAGAACAAAAGCACAAGAGCAGAUUCAGUCAUUCUGAAUUCAACCCUGCAUCUACGCAGAGACUCUUGUAACAUAAAGAAAAUCCCUGCUGAGACAAUCUUCUACUUAUUUAUUUCAGGAUCAUAUGAGCAAGCAGAGAAUGUCCUAAGCUUUGUUCCUAGCACCCAGGUUGACAAGCUGUCCAGAGUCAGAAUAACCCUGGCCUCAUACUUCUUGCUACCGUCUCCUGCUGAGUGUAAAAUAUGGCUGUCUUGCAGUUUGAAUAAGGCUUUUAAUAUGCCAUGGGAUGUCACGGUCCACAGAAAUGGAAUACAGUGUUCUGCUUGCUGUGAAAUAGAAAAAAAGCUAACCAAACUGGUUCCUUCCUCCUGAGUACAUAGUGACUGAUUUGAAGUUCAGUCACUGAGACUAAAAGUAUCAGCCUUGAUCACAAAAAGAAAAAAGCACUUGACAGAUGGAUUUAGUCUUCCCUCAGCAUGAACAUCUAUUUGCCGCUAAAAGUUUGGUUAGUAUAUUGAAGCCGAAUAAUGGGAUCUCUUCUCUUAAUCCAUCAUUAACAGACUGUGGCAUGAGGCGGAUAUUAUUUCUUUGAAUUGAGCUCUCUGGGGGGAAUGUUCAGUGCUCUGGUAGAAAUCAUGCUAUUUGGAAGGGUGUACAUGGCUGGGGGAAAAGAAAAGUUUAUUUGAGAAUAUAAAGAGAAAUAACUCUUAACAGCAGGGCUUUUUUCCACUGCAUGGCUACAUUUACUGGAGCUGAAGUGCUGACUCCCUGUCCUCACACACACAAAUACAAACACAGAUUGCUCUGAUGAGACCAGUCAGUGCUUUGUGUGAUGCUGCAAAUAAAUACUAGUGAAUAUAGAAGUGCUACAGGAACAGCAAACACAGAGUGUGACAUCAACAUCUCCAGUGUCGCUGGGUAUUCCUACAGAUUUCUCACCACCUUUCCUCACCCUCUUCCUGAUGCAGUGCUGCAGAGCAAGACGGGAUGUGAGACAGGUAAGUGCCUUGUUCUGUCCAGCCCCAGUGAAAGGGCUGACCAGGGUCACAGCCAUUAGUUGAUGAUGAGAUUUCAGAAGCAAAGUCAACACACAUUGCCUUGUGUAAAAUCCUGUUCAGUGGACACAAAACUGGCUUGGAAAAUCCAUAGUGAAGCUGGAGACCAUGUGUGCAAGUGUUGAAGUAUGCUGCAGAGCAGGCGAGACAGCUUAAAGAUAUUUUCUGGAAAUCUUUGCUCUCUAUCACUGCCUGUACUAAGAAAGUCUUUGCCAUGGCCCUGAUUUUGAGGAUGAUAGUGCUUUUCACUAUUUUCUGACUUCGAAGCCAACACAGAGCUGUGUUCUCUUUCAAGCCCUACAGUGUGCUGUUUUACCAUGUUGGACUCAACUAAGGCGACUGUCCAAUUUUAAUAGAUGUAUUUUCCACAGGAAAUUAAUGUAUUGUUUCCCCAAAGCUAUUUCAGUCAGUAAACUUCACUGCAGCCUGACCAAGUCGCACGUUACUUCAGCCAGCCAGAUGAAUUGGGUGCCGUUGUUCGGUCCUCUGACUAGUUUUGGCCAAGAGAGUUGUGACAGCCUCAGGCUGCCAGCUACCAGGUGACAGCUCGCAGCACGGUCUGGUAGCCAAACAUCCCUGUGUGUUGUUUUUGUUUGUUUGUUUCUCAAGGAAAACUGUGUAUAGAGAUUAAUUGUUAAUUAAUAAUAAUUAAUUGUUGUGUUGCUUCUUUGACUAUCUAUAGUAUAUAUAAUUGUAUAGUAUGUAGAUAGGACAUAUAUGGUAGUAUGUAUAUCAUAGUGCCAGGGUAUGGGAUGUGGAGUAUAUGCUCUGCAUUUGAUUGUAGAUAUCUAUAUUUUAUAUAGUCUUUUCAGUAGAUUUUCAAUUAUUAUUUCUUUCUCUUCUCCAGGAGGUACUGCAAAAAUGAGAGUGAAGGCUCAGCUUCACCUCUCUGGAGAUAAAACCUUGCAAGCAGCCACGAUCCCUUCCCCGAGCCUCUCUCUGUCACGAUGACAAGCAGCUCACUGCUGUCAGGCCCGUGUAGGAAAUCCACACAGCGACACGGAGAAUGUUUAUUGUGGAGGGAGAACUUUUGCCCUGUGAAGUCACCUCCUACCAGUCACCAGAACUAUUUAGAAGGUGAACACCAGCAUUGUGCCAGCCUGCAGUGGCUGCACCAGGUUAUUGCAACCCCAGAGCACGUAGUCUCCAGACCUACAAGCAAGGGAAUAUAAAGCUGUUUUCAGAGGGUGCCCAUGUGACUGAGAAAGCAUAUGCACAGUUUUUAAAAAGUGGCUUACUGAGAGAUGAUGGACUCGGCAGAACCUGCAGAGAAAUCAGAUGGGCAUUUUUGAAAACUGUGCCCCUUAUUUUAAAAGAAAGGAAAACGUGAGGCAAUCGCAGCUGAUUCAGCAUCCGGCAGUCUCAGCCAAGUCAUAUUUUACCUCUUCCCUUCCCUCCCCGCACAAAACUUCCAGGAAAACCUGCAAAGAAAAGGCAUAUGUGGGUAGGAGGAGACCUGCUUUUAAUUUCUGUACCUCCUAUUCAACACAAUGCCACACAAUGCACAGGAUGCGAAUAUCCCAAGGCACCUUAUACAAUACAAGUAACAAAAGCACACACACAUGCGCAAGAAAGGGGGGAGAAGCAAGCAUGACAGAGCUACAAAGCAAAGUACAGGUAGAGCUGUCUUUAAAGUGCUUACAUGGAGGAGCUACACGAAAAACUCAUCUCUAGAAAGGAGAAGUUGGGGACUGGAGAAAUAUUCCAGUGAUUGCAAAAAUUGGAUUUCCAUUUCAAAACAUGAUUUAUCAGUUUUUCUCUGUUGUUUUGAAUAUAGUGGCCAGAUCUUUAAGGCCCCUUCCAACCCAAACCAUUCUAUGAUUCUGUGAGACUGUGAUCUUCAUUACCAACAGAGGAGGACUCUAGUGCAACAUGUCCUCAGUGCAAUGUCCACUGAUGCUCCUAUGGUAUUGUCUAUAGAGCAACCUGAAGCCAGCACCGAGUCACAUAAAGGCUGCAACGAUAGCCUGCAGAAAUUGCUGUGGUUAGAAGUAUAUAACAGGUAUAACUGUUUUGGCUAUCAAGGGGUGAGUGUAUGUAGGAGGUGCUGACUCCCACAGAAACACCACCUCACCUGACUAAAAGAGAUCCUUCAGGGGACAGGACUGCAACCACCAUCCUGGUAAAGUGCUGCAAAGUGUUUAGAGCAACGCCCAGCAUUAAGGCUGCUGUCAGCACUAAAUGCAUCAGAGCCUGAUCAAAGAAAUCUAGGGUUUCUUGCAGCCUCUUGCUGAGGCACUGCUCUGCAUUUCCAUGAGAAUGACAGUGCUGUGGGUGAAGCACCUGGAGCCUCCUCGCCUGGCCAGCUCUCAGCUCAGGCACAAUUCACUCAAAUUUUGUGAGCUCACAAAAUCCAUGAAGGAGACACGAUUUCUGAGCAAGCCACUCUUCAACAUUUGUCUGGAGUUGCCAUGAGAGUUUUACAGCAAGAAUGUAUGCUGUUAUCAGAUAGGAACAAUAGAAAAAAAAA
This is a non-coding RNA of Anas platyrhynchos (mallard), 3714 nucleotides long. The record is from RefSeq and is a predicted model, not a curated record. NCBI's taxonomy places the organism in Eukaryota, Metazoa, Chordata, Aves, Anseriformes, Anatidae.